Molecule: ribosomal RNA, 465 nt
Filed under: Vreelandella stevensii
Lineage: Bacteria; Pseudomonadati; Pseudomonadota; Gammaproteobacteria; Oceanospirillales; Halomonadaceae
Description: partial 16S ribosomal RNA
Rfam family: Bacterial small subunit ribosomal RNA
Source: RNAcentral
CCUACGGGCGGCAGCAGUGGGGAAUAUUGGACAAUGGGGGCAACCCUGAUCCAGCCAUGCCGCGUGUGUGAAGAAGGCCCUCGGGUUGUAAAGCACUUUCAGUGAGGAAGAACGCCUGGUGGUUAAUACCCAUCAGGAAAGACAUCACUCACAGAAGAAGCACCGGCUAACUCCGUUCCAGCAGCCGCGGUAAUACGGAGGGUGCGAGCGUUAAUCGGAAUUACUGGGCGUAAAGCGCGCGUAGGUGGCUUGAUAAGCCGGUUGUGAAAGCCCCGGGCUCAACCUGGGAACGGCAUCCGGAACUGUCAAGCUAGAGUGCAGGAGAGGAAGGUAGAAUUCCCGGUGUAGCGGUGAAAUGCGUAGAGAUCGGGAGGAAUACCAGUGGCGAAGGCGGCCUUCUGGACUGACACUGACACUGAGGUGCGAAAGCGUGGGUAGCAAACAGGAUUAGAUACCCGUGUAGUC